GGGCGUUAAGUUGCAGGGUAUAGACCCGAAACCCGGUGAUCUAGCCAUGGGCAGGUUGAAGGUUGGGUAACACUAACUGGAGGACCGAACCGACUAAUGUUGAAAAAUUAGCGGAUGACCUGUGGCUGGGGGUGAAAGGCCAAUCAAACCGGGAGAUAGCUGGUUCUCCCCGAAAGCUAUUUAGGUAGCGCCUCGUGAAUUCAUCUCCGGGGGUAGAGCACUGUUUCGGCUAGGGGGCCAUCCCGGCUUACCAACCCGAUGCAAACUGCGAAUACCGGAGAAUGUUAUCACGGGAGACACACGGCGGGUGCUAACGUCCGUCGUGAAGAGGGAAACAACCCAGACCGCCAGCUAAGGUCCCAAAGUCAUGGUUAAGUGGGAAACGAUGUGGGAAGGCCCAGACAGCCAGGAUGUUGGCUUAGAAGCAGCCAUCAUUUAAAGAAAGCGUAAUAGCUCACUGGUCGAGUCGGCCUGCGCGGAAGAUGUAACGGGGCUAAACCAUGCACCGAAGCUGCGGCAGCGACGCUUAUGCGU
This 534-nucleotide ribosomal RNA is filed under the name Salmonella enterica subsp. enterica serovar Weltevreden. RNAcentral describes it as "partial 23S ribosomal RNA". It matches the Rfam family "Bacterial large subunit ribosomal RNA", at positions 690 to 1221 of the family's 2925-position model. The record is from RNAcentral. Lineage: Bacteria; Pseudomonadati; Pseudomonadota; Gammaproteobacteria; Enterobacterales; Enterobacteriaceae.